GUGGGGAAUUUUGGACAAUGGGCGAAAGCCUGAUCCAGCCAUGCCGCGUGCAGGAUGAAGGCCUUCGGGUUGUAAACUGCUUUUGUACGGAACGAAAAGACUCCUUCUAAUAAAGGGGGUCCAUGACGGUACCGUAAGAAUAAGCACCGGGUAACUACGUGCCAGCAGCCGCGGUAAUACGUAGGGUGCAAGCGUUAAUCGGAAUUACUGGGCGUAAAGCGUGCGCAGGCGGUUAUAUAAGACAGAUGUGAAAUCCCCGGGCUCAACCUGGGAACUGCAUUUGGGACUGUAUAGCUAGAGUACGGUAGAGGGGGAUGGAAUUCCGCGUGUAGCAGUGAAAUGCGUAGAUAUGCGGAGGAACACCGAUGGCGAAGGCAAUCCCCUGGACCUGUACUGACGCUCAUGCACGAAAGCGUGGGGAGCAAACAGGAUUAGAAACCCUGGUAGUCC
RNAcentral lists this ribosomal RNA (450 nucleotides) under uncultured bacterium. RNAcentral describes it as "partial 16S ribosomal RNA". It matches the Rfam family "Bacterial small subunit ribosomal RNA", at positions 354 to 796 of the family's 1533-position model. The record is from RNAcentral.